This 984-nucleotide ribosomal RNA is filed under the name Lacticaseibacillus casei. RNAcentral's name for it is "bacterial SSU rRNA". It matches the Rfam family "Bacterial small subunit ribosomal RNA", at positions 63 to 1007 of the family's 1533-position model. Lineage: Bacteria; Bacillati; Bacillota; Bacilli; Lactobacillales; Lactobacillaceae. The record is from RNAcentral.
CGAACGAGUUCUCGUUGAUGAUCGGUGCUUGCACCGAGAUUCAACAUGGAACGAGUGGCGGACGGGUGAGUAACACGUGGGUAACCUGCCCUUAAGUGGGGGAUAACAUUUGGAAACAGAUGCUAAUACCGCAUAGAUCCAAGAACCGCAUGGUUCUUGGCUGAAAGAUGGCGUAAGCUAUCGCUUUUGGAUGGACCCGCGGCGUAUUAGCUAGUUGGUGAGGUAAUGGCUCACCAAGGCGAUGAUACGUAGCCGAACUGAGAGGUUGAUCGGCCACAUUGGGACUGAGACACGGCCCAAACUCCUACGGGAGGCAGCAGUAGGGAAUCUUCCACAAUGGACGCAAGUCUGAUGGAGCAACGCCGCGUGAGUGAAGAAGGCUUUCGGGUCGUAAAACUCUGUUGUUGGAGAAGAAUGGUCGGCAGAGUAACUGUUGUCGGCGUGACGGUAUCCAACCAGAAAGCCACGGCUAACUACGUGCCAGCAGCCGCGGUAAUACGUAGGUGGCAAGCGUUAUCCGGAUUUAUUGGGCGUAAAGCGAGCGCAGGCGGUUUUUUAAGUCUGAUGUGAAAGCCCUCGGCUUAACCGAGGAAGCGCAUCGGAAACUGGGAAACUUGAGUGCAGAAGAGGACAGUGGAACUCCAUGGUGUAGCGGUGAAAUGCGUAGAUAUAUGGAAGAACACCAGUGGCGAAGGCGGCUGUCUGGUCUGUAACUGACGCUGAGGCUCGAAAGCAUGGGUAGCGAACAGGAUUAGAUACCCUGGUAGUCCAUGCCGUAAACGAUGAAUGCUAGGUGUUUGGAAGGGUUUCCGCCCUUCAGUGCCGCAGCUAACGCAUUAAGCAUUCCGCCUGGGGAGUACGACCGCAAGGUUGAAACUCAAAGGAAUUGACGGGGGCCCGCACAAGCGGUGGAGCAUGUGGUUUAAUUCGAAGCAACGCGAAGAACCUUACCAGGUCUUGACAUCUUUUGAUCACCUGAAAGAU